UUGAUUUUCCUUUUUGUUUUCUUUUUUUUUUAAUUUUUAUUUCCACAUGUAUUUUUAUUUCAUUUUUUGUUUAGAUUUUUUGUCCACAUGUAAAAAAUGAGCCAAGUGGAGAAUUCCGGCUGCCACCUCGUCGAUUCCGACUACCACAGUGGCAUUUCCGGCGCCGGCGUAAGAAAAAACCGGUCGCCGGAUAAAUUCCAGACAAAAACUAAAUGUUAGGUAUUUAAAAGAAGAAAAAUAAAAAAAGGUGCAAAAACCAAUUCCGUGUAAACGUUAGGGAUUUACAGGCAAUUACCCC
Molecule: long non-coding RNA, 298 nt
Filed under: Salvia miltiorrhiza (redroot sage)
Lineage: Eukaryota; Viridiplantae; Streptophyta; Magnoliopsida; Lamiales; Lamiaceae
Description: long non-coding RNA (SMIL_LNC003234)
Source: RNAcentral